Molecule: ribosomal RNA, 690 nt
Filed under: Triticum aestivum (bread wheat)
Lineage: Eukaryota; Viridiplantae; Streptophyta; Magnoliopsida; Poales; Poaceae
Description: partial small subunit ribosomal RNA
Source: RNAcentral
AUGACAACCAAUCUUGCAGAGGUUUAUAACUUUGUACUCAGAGGGAAUAGAGAAUUGCCACUUACAGCUAUUGUGGAGGCCGUAUUCCAUGGCACUUUGAGAUAUUUCAGAGAAAGGCAUGAGUUAGCAAGGAAGCAUAUUGCAGAUAAUCAGAACACACCUUAUUGUAGCCGUGUCAUGGAGUACAUGGCAAAGAAGAUAGAGAAAGCAAAGAAGCACACUGUCAGACUGAUAGGUAAUCAGGAAAGGAGGUAUGAGGUUCAGCUUCCUACCGAUGGUUUUGGUUCUGGAAAUGAGGUGAAGACGCACGAGGUAAAAAUUGGAACAGAAUUUCAUCCAACGUGUGAGUGCACAUGCAACGAACCAAAGUUGUUGCACCUACCUUGCUCACAUGUGUUGGCUGCCUGUGGCCAGAUUGAGUUGGACGCUAUGUCCUUCGUGUCGCCAUACUAUUUAAAAUAUGCAAUACUCAACACAUGGACAGGUGAGAUGACAGGGUUUAGAGUCGUCGGCAAUUUCAACAAGGUAAACGACGGUGAGAGAGUAUACAUCCCAGAUCCAGGACUUUGCCGAACAAGUAGGGGCAGACGAAAGGCCCGUCGCAUCCGAAACGAUAUGGACCAAUCUGAAGCUGGUGGAGCAACCAGACAAUAUUUGUUAUGCGCGGCUUAUGGGCAUAUGAUGAAAUAU